GGCUCAGAACGAACGCUGGCGGCAUGCCUAACACAUGCAAGUCGAACGAGACCUUCGGGUCUAGUGGCGCACGGGUGCGUAACGCGUGGGAAUCUACCCUUGGGUUCGGAAUAACUCAGAGAAAUUUGAGCUAAUACCGGAUGAUGUCGCAAGACCAAAGAUUUAUCGCCCAAGGAUGAGCCCGCGUAGGAUUAGCUUGUUGGUGAGGUAAAAGCUCACCAAGGCGACGAUCCUUAGCUGGUCUGAGAGGAUGAUCAGCCACACUGGGACUGAGACACGGCCCAGACUCCUACGGGAGGCAGCAGUGGGGAAUAUUGGACAAUGGGCGAAAGCCUGAUCCAGCAAUGCCGCGUGAGUGAUGAAGGCCUUAGGGUUGUAAAGCUCUUUUACCCGGGAUGAUAAUGACAG
Molecule: ribosomal RNA, 408 nt
Filed under: Sphingomonas sp. R-39146
Lineage: Bacteria; Pseudomonadati; Pseudomonadota; Alphaproteobacteria; Sphingomonadales; Sphingomonadaceae
Description: bacterial SSU rRNA
Rfam family: Bacterial small subunit ribosomal RNA
Source: RNAcentral